This 64-nucleotide transfer RNA is filed under the name Phyllotreta foudrasi. RNAcentral's name for it is "tRNA-Thr". The record is from RNAcentral. Lineage: Eukaryota; Metazoa; Arthropoda; Insecta; Coleoptera; Chrysomelidae.
GUUUUAGUAAUUUAAAAAAAAUAUUAGUCUUGUAAACUAAAAAUAAAAAUAAUUUUCUAAAACU